AUUGAACGCUGGCGGCAGGCCUAACACAUGCAAGUCGAACGAGGGGCGCAGGGGUGAGAAAUGUGGGGAAAAUGCCCUGAUGGAGGGGGUAAACUACUGGAAACGGUACCAAAUCCGGCAUACCAUAAGAUGUGACCAGAUGGGCCUAUCUUGUUGGUGGGGUAACGGCUCACCAAGGCGACGGUCCCUAGCAGGUCUGAGAGGCUGACAGGCCACACUGGAACUGUGACACGGUGCAGACGCCUACGGUAGGCAGCAGUGGGGAAUAUUGCGCAAUGGGCGAAAGCCUGAUGCAGCCAUGCCGCGUGUAUGAAGAAGGCCUUCGGGUUGUAAAGUUCUUUAAGCGGGGCGGCGGUACGCGGAGAAGAAGCACCGGCUAACUCCGUGCCAGCAGCCGCGGUAAUAC
RNAcentral lists this ribosomal RNA (406 nucleotides) under uncultured bacterium. RNAcentral's name for it is "partial 16S ribosomal RNA". It matches the Rfam family "Bacterial small subunit ribosomal RNA", at positions 29 to 526 of the family's 1533-position model. The record is from RNAcentral.